Molecule: ribosomal RNA, 527 nt
Filed under: uncultured archaeon
Lineage: Archaea
Description: bacterial SSU rRNA
Rfam family: Archaeal small subunit ribosomal RNA
Source: RNAcentral
GCGCGAAAACUUUGCAAUAAGCGAAAGCUUGACAGGGCUAUCCCGAGUGCCAUCCGCUGAGGAAGGCUUUUACCCAGUCUAGUAAGCUGGGGGAAUAAGGAGAGGGCAAGUCUGGUGUCAGCCGCCGCGGUAAUACCAGCUCUCCGAGUGGUGUGGAUGUUUAUUGGGCCUAAAGCAUCCGUAGCUGGCUGAGUUAGUCCCCUGUUAAAUCCACCGAAUCAAUCGUUGGAUUGCGGGGGAUACUGCUCGGCUAGGGGACGGGAGAGGCAGACGGUAUUUCCGGGGUAAGGGUGAAAUCUUAUAAUCCCGGGAAGACCACCAGUGGCGAAGGCUGUCUGCUAGAACGCGCCCGACGGUGAGGGAUGAAAGCUGGGGUAGCGAACCGGAUUAGAUACCCGGGUAGUCCCAGCCGUAAACGAUGCAGGCUAGGUGUUAGAGCAACUAUGGGUUGCUCUAGUGCCGCAGAGAAGUUGUUAAGCUCGCCGCCUGGGAAGUACGGCCGCGAAGGCUGAAACUUAAGGAUUGGC